This 35-nucleotide ribosomal RNA is filed under the name Prolemur simus (greater bamboo lemur). The record is from RNAcentral. Lineage: Eukaryota; Metazoa; Chordata; Mammalia; Primates; Lemuridae.
AACGUACCUGAUCUCGUCUGGUCUCAGAAGCUAAG